AGAGGGUUGUUAUCGUUAUGUUGGGGGAUACUGGAAGAGAGGGAAAAAGCCAACUGGGAAGAGAUUCCAGAUAUAUUUGGACAGACUAUUGAUUUACAUCCUUCCACAGUGGAUGAAUGAUCCACUAUUUUGCUUAGUUUCUCUGUCCCGUCGAAUUGUGAAGGCAGAGUCAAAUGUUCCAUGGAAUUGUCCAGAUAUAGAAAAUGAAGUUUCGUGAAAUUUAGUGACUCUGCAAUGUUCCAUCUGUAGAUUUAUCGCUGUGCCGUUCUUGUAGUGAAGUUUCUCAUCUCGCUUGUAAGUUGCAAUUUUAUAGAUUGCUAAUUGGUGAAGGUUAAAGCAGAAAUUUGUUUUGCUUACACAUUUUGCUUCAAUAUCUCCAGAUUCAUGAGAACUGGUUGCAAUUAAUCUAAAGGAGAUGCACAAUUACUACUAUGCGCCUGCUUUAACCGUUUAAUUAACUUCUGUUAUAGUUCUUCACUUUGCUUUUAAUGCUGAAGUUGGAAAAUAUUAAAAAA
RNAcentral lists this long non-coding RNA (515 nucleotides) under Daucus carota (carrot). RNAcentral describes it as "long non-coding RNA (DCAR_LNC000607)". Lineage: Eukaryota; Viridiplantae; Streptophyta; Magnoliopsida; Apiales; Apiaceae. The record is from RNAcentral.